UACAGAGGUCUCAAGCGUUGUUCGGAUUCAUUGGGCGUAAAGGGUGUGUAGGUGGCGCCGUAAGUCGGGUGUGAAAUUUCGGAGCUUAACUCCGAAACUGCAUUCGAUACUGCGGUGCUUGAGGACUGGAGAGGAGACUGGAAUUCAUGGUGUAGCAGUGAAAUGCGCAGAUAUCAGGAGGAACACCAAUUGCGAAGGCAGCUCGCUGGGACGUUACUGACGCUGAGACGCGAAAGCGUGGGGAGCAAACAGG
Molecule: ribosomal RNA, 253 nt
Filed under: uncultured bacterium
Lineage: Bacteria
Description: partial 16S ribosomal RNA
Rfam family: Bacterial small subunit ribosomal RNA
Source: RNAcentral